Hibiscus syriacus is the source of this 308-nucleotide long non-coding RNA. RefSeq lists it as uncharacterized. The record is from RefSeq and is a predicted model, not a curated record. The transcript is spliced from 2 exons. Lineage: Eukaryota; Viridiplantae; Streptophyta; Magnoliopsida; Malvales; Malvaceae.
CGGCGGUGUUCGGAUUUCUUGAUCGGGAUUACGAGACUGAUUUCAAAUUUCCGAUACGAGAUGAGCUCAUAAGUAACCUGCUGCCUUCAUUUUAUCAAGAUAUGAUUGUCAGUGUAUACUCCAAGAAAUCUGAACUGGUAGGAGCAGUUUCUAAGGCCUUUGAAAAUUAUCAGCUAAAGACAUACGGAAGGAAAGCACAAGUUCAUGAUACUCCUGAGAAGAAGAAAAGCCGGAAUAGAAAAUAAUCACCCACAACUUUCAUAUAUACUAGUACAAUAUAAUACUCAUUUUACUAAUUCACAAUACUC